GAGCCAGUCAACAUAAUUGGCAUUGCAGCAAAGGUUAGUGAGGGAAGAUGGGAGAUGGUAGCAAUGACUGCAAGUCUGGUGAUACGGAAGCGAGGUCAACCUCACGUUGAGGAGAACAUUGUUGAAGAUCUCGACACCUAGAAGUUGAGAAAGUAGAGGAUGACCGGUAGGA
RNAcentral lists this long non-coding RNA (172 nucleotides) under Dermacentor andersoni. RNAcentral describes it as "uncharacterized LOC126545051". The record is from RNAcentral. Lineage: Eukaryota; Metazoa; Arthropoda; Arachnida; Ixodida; Ixodidae.